GAUGGGCGCGGUGGUGCACGCCUGGAAUCCCAGUGGCUCAGGAGGCUGAGGCAGGAGGAUAGUGAGUUCAAAGCCAGUCUCAGCAAAAGUGAGGCGCUGAGCAAUACAGUGAGACCCUGUCUCUA
This 125-nucleotide small RNA is filed under the name Marmota monax (woodchuck). Lineage: Eukaryota; Metazoa; Chordata; Mammalia; Rodentia; Sciuridae. The record is from RNAcentral.